RNAcentral lists this ribosomal RNA (2615 nucleotides) under Salmonella enterica. Its description in RNAcentral is "partial 23S ribosomal RNA". It matches the Rfam family "Bacterial large subunit ribosomal RNA". The record is from RNAcentral. RNAcentral also lists the same sequence under 1 other name. Lineage: Bacteria; Pseudomonadati; Pseudomonadota; Gammaproteobacteria; Enterobacterales; Enterobacteriaceae.
AAUCCAUAGGUUAAUGAGGCGAACCGGGGGAACUGAAACAUCUAAGUACCCCGAGGAAAAGAAAUCAACCGAGAUUCCCCCAGUAGCGGCGAGCGAACGGGGAGGAGCCCAGAGCCUGAAUCAGCAUGUGUGUUAGUGGAAGCGUCUGGAAAGGCGCGCGAUACAGGGUGACAGCCCCGUACACAAAAGCGCAUGUGCUGUGAGCUCGAUGAGUAGGGCGGGACACGUGGUAUCCUGUCUGAAUAUGGGGGGACCAUCCUCCAAGGCUAAAUACUCCUGACUGACCGAUAGUGAACCAGUACCGUGAGGGAAAGGCGAAAAGAACCCCGGCGAGGGGAGUGAAAAAGAACCUGAAACCGUGUACGUACAAGCAGUGGGAGCACCCUUUGGGUGUGACUGCGUACCUUUUGUAUAAUGGGUCAGCGACUUAUAUUCUGUAGCAAGGUUAACCGAAUAGGGGAGCCGGAGGGAAACCGAGUCUUAACCGGGCGUUAAGUUGCAGGGUAUAGACCCGAAACCCGGUGAUCUAGCCAUGGGCAGGUUGAAGGUUGGGUAACACUAACUGGAGGACCGAACCGACUAAUGUUGAAAAAUUAGCGGAUGACCUGUGGCUGGGGGUGAAAGGCCAAUCAAACCGGGAGAUAGCUGGUUCUCCCCGAAAGCUAUUUAGGUAGCGCCUCGUGAAUUCAUCUCCGGGGGUAGAGCACUGUUUCGGCUAGGGGGCCAUCCCGGCUUACCAACCCGAUGCAAACUGCGAAUACCGGAGAAUGUUAUCACGGGAGACACACGGCGGGUGCUAACGUCCGUCGUGAAGAGGGAAACAACCCAGACCGCCAGCUAAGGUCCCAAAGUCAUGGUUAAGUGGGAAACGAUGUGGGAAGGCCCAGACAGCCAGGAUGUUGGCUUAGAAGCAGCCAUCAUUUAAAGAAAGCGUAAUAGCUCACUGGUCGAGUCGGCCUGCGCGGAAGAUGUAACGGGGCUAAACCAUGCACCGAAGCUGCGGCAGCGACACUGUGUGUUGUUGGGUAGGGGAGCGUUCUGUAAGCCUGUGAAGGUGUGUCGUGAGGCAUGCUGGAGGUAUCAGAAGUGCGAAUGCUGACAUAAGUAACGAUAAAGCGGGUGAAAAGCCCGCUCGCCGGAAGACCAAGGGUUCCUGUCCAACGUUAAUCGGGGCAGGGUGAGUCGACCCCUAAGGCGAGGCCGAAAGGCGUAGUCGAUGGGAAACGGGUUAAUAUUCCCGUACUUGGUGUUACUGCGAAGGGGGGACGGAGAAGGCUAUGUUGGCCGGGCGACGGUUGUCCCGGUUUAAGCGUGUAGGCUGGUUUUCCAGGCAAAUCCGGAAAAUCAAGGCUGAGGCGUGAUGACGAGGCACUACGGUGCUGAAGCAACAAAUGCCCUGCUUCCAGGAAAAGCCUCUAAGCAUCAGGUAACAUCAAAUCGUACCCCAAACCGACACAGGUGGUCAGGUAGAGAAUACCAAGGCGCUUGAGAGAACUCGGGUGAAGGAACUAGGCAAAAUGGUGCCGUAACUUCGGGAGAAGGCACGCUGACACGUAGGUGAAGUGAUUUACUCAUGGAGCUGAAGUCAGUCGAAGAUACCAGCUGGCUGCAACUGUUUAUUAAAAACACAGCACUGUGCAAACACGAAAGUGGACGUAUACGGUGUGACGCCUGCCCGGUGCCGGAAGGUUAAUUGAUGGGGUCAGCGCAAGCGAAGCUCCUGAUCGAAGCCCCGGUAAACGGCGGCCGUAACUAUAACGGUCCUAAGGUAGCGAAAUUCCUUGUCGGGUAAGUUCCGACCUGCACGAAUGGCGUAAUGAUGGCCAGGCUGUCUCCACCCGAGACUCAGUGAAAUUGAACUCGCUGUGAAGAUGCAGUGUACCCGCGGCAAGACGGAAAGACCCCGUGAACCUUUACUAUAGCUUGACACUGAACAUUGAGCCUUGAUGUGUAGGAUAGGUGGGAGGCUUUGAAGUGUGGACGCCAGUCUGCAUGGAGCCGACCUUGAAAUACCACCCUUUAAUGUUUGAUGUUCUAACGUGGACCCGUUACCCGGGUUGCGGACAGUGUCUGGUGGGUAGUUUGACUGGGGCGGUCUCCUCCUAAAGAGUAACGGAGGAGCACGAAGGUUGGCUAAUCCUGGUCGGACAUCAGGAGGUUAGUGCAAUGGCAUAAGCCAGCUUGACUGCGAGCGUGACGGCGCGAGCAGGUGCGAAAGCAGGUCAUAGUGAUCCGGUGGUUCUGAAUGGAAGGGCCAUCGCUCAACGGAUAAAAGGUACUCCGGGGAUAACAGGCUGAUACCGCCCAAGAGUUCAUAUCGACGGCGGUGUUUGGCACCUCGAUGUCGGCUCAUCACAUCCUGGGGCUGAAGUAGGUCCCAAGGGUAUGGCUGUUCGCCAUUUAAAGUGGUACGCGAGCUGGGUUUAGAACGUCGUGAGACAGUUCGGUCCCUAUCUGCCGUGGGCGCUGGAGAACUGAGGGGGGCUGCUCCUAGUACGAGAGGACCGGAGUGGACGCAUCACUGGUGUUCGGGUUGUCAUGCCAAUGGCACUGCCCGGUAGCUAAAUGCGGAAGAGAUAAGUGCUGAAAGCAUCUAAGCACGAAACUUGCCCCGA